Molecule: ribosomal RNA, 516 nt
Filed under: uncultured microorganism
Description: bacterial SSU rRNA
Rfam family: Bacterial small subunit ribosomal RNA
Source: RNAcentral
GAGUUUGAUCGUGGCUCAGAUUGAACGCUGGCGGCAGGCCUAACACAUGCAAGUCGAGCGGAUGAAGGGAGCUUGCUCCUGGAUUCAGCGGCGGACGGGUGAGUAAUGCCUAGGAAUCUGCCUGGGUAGUGGGGGAUAACGUCCGGAAACGGGCGCUAAUGCCGCAUACGUCCUGAGGGAGAAAGUGGGGGAUCUUCGGACCUCACGCUAUCAGACGAGCCUAGGUCGGAUUAGCUAGUUGGUGGGGUAAAGGCCUACCAAGGCGACGAUCCGUAACUGGUCUGAGAGGAUGAUCAGUCACACUGGAACUGAGACACGGUCCAGACUCCUACGGGAGGCAGCAGUGGGGAAUAUUGGACAAUGGGCGAAAGCCUGAUCCAGCCAUGCCGCGUGUGUGAAGAGGGUCUUCGGAUUGUAAAGCACUUUAAGUUGGGAGGAAGGGCAGUAAGUUAAUACCUUGCUGUUUGACGUUACCAACAGAAUAAGCACCGGCUAACUUCGUGCCAGCAGCCGCAA